RNAcentral lists this ribosomal RNA (400 nucleotides) under uncultured bacterium. Its description in RNAcentral is "bacterial SSU rRNA". It matches the Rfam family "Bacterial small subunit ribosomal RNA", at positions 355 to 774 of the family's 1533-position model. The record is from RNAcentral.
UGGGGAAUCUUGGACAAUGGACGAAAGUCUGAUCCAGCAAUAUUUAUUGUGCGAAGGAGACGGCAAGCUUUGUAAACCACUUUUGUAAAUACUAAUAAUGAUUUAGUUUUAAGUAAUUUAGUCCCGGCUAAUUUCGUGCCAGCAGCCGCGGUAAUACGGGAGGGGCUAGCGUUAUUCAUCAUAAACGGGCGUAAAGGGUGAGUAGACGAUGGUUAUUAGCUAAUCAGAAAAAACAAAUGUUUAUUUGCUAUAGAUUAUCUAACAAUCAAUCAGCGAUGACCGGAGUAAUUGGAAUUACUAAUGUAAAGGUAAAAUAUGAUGAUAUUAGUACGUACGCCAAAGGCGAAGGCAUGUUACUAGAUAGUCGGACGUUGAGGUGCGAAAGCAUGGGAAUCAAACG